RNAcentral lists this small RNA (158 nucleotides) under Serratia grimesii. RNAcentral's name for it is "RtT RNA". Lineage: Bacteria; Pseudomonadati; Pseudomonadota; Gammaproteobacteria; Enterobacterales; Yersiniaceae. The record is from RNAcentral.
UUCGUCUGUAGUUUAUAGGAUGAGACAAAACUGUCGGGAACAGUUUUGAACAACGCUUUAGCGUUGGCCCGCCAGGGGGAGCGCAGCGAGACAACGUUGCGUUAGCAACGGCCCGCAGGGCGGCAUCGCAGAUGCAAGUCAUCCUCUCUCGCCGACCA